Molecule: long non-coding RNA, 514 nt
Filed under: Salmo salar (Atlantic salmon)
Lineage: Eukaryota; Metazoa; Chordata; Actinopteri; Salmoniformes; Salmonidae
Description: lncRNA (ENSSSAG00000082558.1)
Source: RNAcentral
CCUCCCUUCAUCAUCCAGGCCUUCCGCUUCAGGGUGUCAGAGUCCACCGUGUCCCACGUCUGGAGCACCUGGAUGGAGCUGCUGCAGAGACGGAUGAGACAGGGAGAGGGUUGAAAAGGGAGUAUGCGAUCCCCAGCCAGCGUUACAUCACUCUUUCCAGCCCCACCUAGCCAACGGCUCUAGGUUCUCGAGUGUGCCGACACCCUCUCCGACGUCCACUCCAGCCUCCGCAAGCGAGGGGACACACCCAACCCCUCCUACCAGGCCCUACCACUACCUCUGCAGCGAACGUGUCUGCUGUCUGAUGGACAAGGGGAUGGCGUUCCAUUACCUGAGGGUGGUGCACCCUGCCCGGAUCGGUGUGCUGCUUCCUGGCCUGCCUCCUGCACCGUCCUCAGGGAAUCAAAUAGGUCCAAGACCAAGGGCCUCUGUGACAACUAUCUCUGCGAGCAGGCCCAGACUAACUACCUCCACGAGGAGGCCCAAGCUAACCACCUACAUGUGAGGAGGCCCA